AGUUUCUCCAAAUGUUGAGGACAUUGGGAAUAGCAGGAGUAGUCAAUUUAAGAAGAAGGCAGUGUCACUAAAGUUGGUAUUCAACCCCCCACUGCUAAAUUUGACUGGCUUAAA
RNAcentral lists this small RNA (114 nucleotides) under Microcebus murinus (gray mouse lemur). RNAcentral describes it as "Y RNA (ENSMICG00000025777.3)". Lineage: Eukaryota; Metazoa; Chordata; Mammalia; Primates; Cheirogaleidae. The record is from RNAcentral.